Molecule: long non-coding RNA, 871 nt
Organism: Athalia rosae (coleseed sawfly)
Lineage: Eukaryota; Metazoa; Arthropoda; Insecta; Hymenoptera; Athaliidae
Exons: 3
Source: RefSeq, a predicted model, not a curated record
GUAUCAUUUCUUGCGAAUAUGUAUACGUAACGAAAAUUCUCGAGGGUGAUGAAUGACAAAUGAAUGCCAUAGAUUUUGCGCGGGAUGUUACGAUUAGUGUACCACGUGGGUGUCGCGCCGGUCGGCCGCCAUUACUUGUUAUUGUCAUUAGUCCGCAAACCGAGAGCGAACCUUGUUGACGUAGUUUACGUCGUCCCGUGUUUCACCCAUUUCACCAUUACAAUGUCAGAACUCGAAAAGUUUUUCGAAACAAUCUUCAAGCAGUCGCAAGUAAGACGGGCGAAUAAUAGUCAUGAAAUUAUUCUGUUAAAUCGGUUAAUUCUAUCUUCGGCGAUCGUUGCUCAAUCCCAGUACGCAAACGAUUGAAUGAAACGAUUGAACAUUCGAUCUCGAGAAAAAUCUAGAAAAUCUGGUAUUUGAUCGACUAUAAAACAACCGUGACGAAAAAUCGAAUGUGAGACCAAUAAAGAUGGUCUCGACUCACCUUCACCCAAUUACUAAGUGGCGUAUCUAUGAAACCGUGGAUAAUGAACUUGGUCUCCCGUUUCGGGUCAAAGUUAGAUCGUUUAAUGGACUUGUCCUUAGCCACUAUAAGAACCUGGCCCUGGAAAUGAAGAUAGAAAUCACCGAAAUUAAUUAUACGAAGAUGCAACGCAAGUCGGACGAUCUAUGAUAAUGUGAUCGUUAACCGAAAUGCCGCAAUUCCAGGAUGAAUCUAGUGUUGAUAACUUCCCUCGGCAGGGGGAAAACAUUGAAGGGUCUGUGGAUUAGGUGAUACCAGCUCCUUGUGAUGUUCACGCACCCCAGUUCUUCGUAACAUCUUGUCUCGUUUUCAACUGCAAUCAUCGAGUAGCGGAAAAAAAAAUCCCCA